GUGAGUAACGCGUGGGUGACCUACCUUCGAGUGGGGGAUAACGUCCCGAAAGGGACGCUAAUACCGCAUGACAUCCUGUCCUUGAACGGAUGGAGAUCAAAGCCGGGGAUCGCAAGACCUGGCGCUUGAUGAGGGGCCCGCGUCUGAUUAGCUAGUUGGUGGGGUAAUGGCUCACCAAGGCGACGAUCAGUAUCCGGCCUGAGAGGGCGGACGGACACACUGGGACUGAGACACGGCCCAGACUCCUACGGGAGGCAGCAGUGGGGAAUUGUUCACAAUGGGCGCAAGCCUGAUGACGCAACGCCGCGUGGAGGAUGAAGGUCUUCGGAUUGUAAACUCCUGUUGCUCGGGAAGAAUAGCUCCAACCUAAUACGUUGGAGUCUGACGGUACCGGGUGAGGAAGCCCCGGCUAACUCUGUGCCAGCAGCCGCGGUAAUACAGAGGGGGCAAGCGUUGUUCGGAAUUACUGGGCGUAAAGGGCGCGUAGGCGGCCUGUUAAGUCGAACGUGAAAUCCCCGGGCUCAACCCGGGAACUGCGUCCGAUACUGGCAGGUUUGAAUCCGGGAGAGGGAUGUGGAAUUCCAGGUGUAGCGGUGAAAUGCGUAGAUAUCUGGAGGAACACCGGUGGCGAAUGCGGCAUCCUGGACCGGUA
This 652-nucleotide ribosomal RNA is filed under the name uncultured bacterium. Its description in RNAcentral is "bacterial SSU rRNA". It matches the Rfam family "Bacterial small subunit ribosomal RNA", at positions 106 to 739 of the family's 1533-position model. The record is from RNAcentral.